GCGGGUAUAGUUUAGUGGUAAAAGUGUGAUUCGUUCUAUUAACCCCUUAAUAGUUAAGGGGUCCUCGGUUUGAUUAAUAUAAGCCCCUAGCCUUCCAAGCUAACGAUGCGGGUUCGAUUCCCGCUACCCGC
Molecule: transfer RNA, 131 nt
Filed under: Hippophae sinensis
Lineage: Eukaryota; Viridiplantae; Streptophyta; Magnoliopsida; Rosales; Elaeagnaceae
Description: Hippophae rhamnoides subsp. sinensis tRNA-Gly
Rfam family: tRNA
About the family: Transfer RNA (tRNA) molecules are approximately 80 nucleotides in length. Their secondary structure includes four short double-helical elements and three loops (D, anti-codon, and T loops).
Source: RNAcentral